UAGAGUAAUGCGUGACCAACCUGCCCAUGCUCCAGAAUAGCUCUUGGAAACGGGUGGUAAUGCUGGAUGCUCCAACUUGACGCAUGUCUUGUUGGGAAAGUGUUUAGUGGCAUGGGAUGGGGUCGCGUCCUAUCAGCUUGUAGGCGGGGUAAUGGCCCACCUAGGCUUCGACGGGUAGCCGGCCUGAGAGGGCGGACGGCCACAUUGGGACUGAGAUACGGCCCAGACUCCUACGGGAGGCAGCAGCC
Molecule: ribosomal RNA, 248 nt
Filed under: uncultured Gardnerella sp.
Lineage: Bacteria; Bacillati; Actinomycetota; Actinomycetes; Bifidobacteriales; Bifidobacteriaceae
Description: partial 16S ribosomal RNA
Rfam family: Bacterial small subunit ribosomal RNA
Source: RNAcentral